AGCGAACGCUGGCGGCAGGCUUAACACAUGCAAGUCGAGCGCCCCGCAAGGGGAGCGGCAGACGGGUGAGUAACACGUGGGAACGUACCUUUUGGUUCGGAACAACUGAGGGAAACUUCAGCUAAUACCGGAUAAGCCCUUACGGGGAAAGAUUUAUCGCCAAAAGAUCGGCCCGCGUCUGAUUAGCUAGUUGGUGGGGUAAUGGCCCACCAAGGCGACGAUCAGUAGCUGGUCUGAGAGGAUGAUCAGCCACACUGGGACUGAGACACGGCCCAGACUCCUACGGGAGGCAGCAGUGGGGAAUAUUGGACAAUGGGGGCAACCCUGAUCCAGCCAUGCCGCGUGAGUGAUGAAGGCCUUAGGGUUGUAAAGCUCUUUCGUUGGGGAAGAUAAUGACGGUACCCAAAGAAGAAGCCCCGGCUAACUUCGUGCCAGCCGCCGCCGUAACAC
This 450-nucleotide ribosomal RNA is filed under the name uncultured bacterium. RNAcentral describes it as "bacterial SSU rRNA". It matches the Rfam family "Bacterial small subunit ribosomal RNA", at positions 29 to 526 of the family's 1533-position model. The record is from RNAcentral.